GAAACUCAAAUGAAUUGACGGGGGCCCGCACAAGCGGUGGAGCAUGUGGUUUAAUUCGAUGAUACGCGAGGAACCUUACCUGGGCUCAAAUGUAUGUUGACGUAUUCUGAAAGGGAUACUUCUUCGGACAAUAUACAAGGUGCUGCAUGGUUGUCGUCAGCUCGUGCCGUGAGGUGUCGGGUUAAGUCCCAUAACGAGCGCAACCCCUAUCAUUAGUUGCCAUCAGGUCAAGCUGGGGACUCUAAUGAAACUGCCUACGCAAGUAGUGAGGAAGGUGGGGAUGACGUCAAAUCAGCACGGCCCUUACGUCCAGGGCUACACACGUGCUACAAUGGCCGGUACAAAGGGCAGCUACCUGGUGACAGGAUGCUAAUCUCAAAAGCCGGUCUCAGUUCGGAUCGGAGUCUGCAACCCGACUCCGUGAAGCUGGAAUCGCCUUAGUAACUCGCCGCAUCAAGUACCGAAUUGGCGGCGUGAAUACGUUCCGGCU
This 490-nucleotide ribosomal RNA is filed under the name uncultured Sphingobacteriales bacterium. RNAcentral's name for it is "bacterial SSU rRNA". It matches the Rfam family "Bacterial small subunit ribosomal RNA", at positions 896 to 1380 of the family's 1533-position model. Lineage: Bacteria; Pseudomonadati; Bacteroidota; Sphingobacteriia; Sphingobacteriales. The record is from RNAcentral.